This 462-nucleotide ribosomal RNA is filed under the name uncultured bacterium. RNAcentral's name for it is "bacterial SSU rRNA". It matches the Rfam family "Bacterial small subunit ribosomal RNA", at positions 340 to 783 of the family's 1533-position model. The record is from RNAcentral.
UACGGAAGGCAGCAGUGGGGAAUAUUGCACAAUGGGCGAAAGCCUGAUGCAGCUAUGCCGCGUGUAUGAAGAAGGCCUUAGGGUUGUAAAGUACUUUCAUCGGGGAGGAAAAAACAAAACUAAUAAUUUUAUUUCUUGACGUUACCCGAAAAAGAAGCACCGGCUAACUCCGUGCCAGCAGCCGCGGUAAUACGGAGGGUGCUAGCGUUAAUCAGAAUUACUGGGCGUAAAGAGCACGUAGGUGGUUUUUUUAAAGUCAGAUGUGAAAUCCCUGGGCUUAACCUAGGAACUGCAUUUUGAAACUGAAAUACUAGAGUAUCGUAGAGGGAGGUAGAAUUCUAGGUGUAGCGGUGAAAUAGCGUAGAUAUCUGGAGGAAGUAACCUGUGGCGAAAGACGGCCUCCUAAACCGGAAUACUGACACUGAGGUGCGAAAGACGUGGGGAGGCAAACAGGGAUUAGAU